CAGAAAAUAGUUUAUAUUUAAAAUUUUAAUUUUGGAGAUUAAUAAAAAAGGUUUUUCUUUUUUUCUGA
Molecule: transfer RNA, 68 nt
Filed under: Taxonus zhangi
Lineage: Eukaryota; Metazoa; Arthropoda; Insecta; Hymenoptera; Tenthredinidae
Description: tRNA-Pro
Source: RNAcentral